This 503-nucleotide long non-coding RNA is filed under the name Chrysemys picta bellii (western painted turtle). RNAcentral describes it as "lncRNA (ENSCPBG00000020679.1)". Lineage: Eukaryota; Metazoa; Chordata; Testudines; Emydidae. The record is from RNAcentral.
CCCUAAAUACUGUUGGGGGCAGCUUUUUGGGAGAGUUGAAGGCUCUGUGUUGGGGGGGCGGGCGGAAGCAGUACCUAAAAACUAAUUACAGUUUUGAAAUGUACAAACCUGAUGAUCUCUCCCAGUCAAAUGAGAUUUUUUAAUCUCCUGGGAAUUCGCUGUAAAAUUCUUCAUCGUGAAGUAAUGUUAGGUUUUGUUUUGUUUUAAACUGCUGUAAAAUUGCUGAAGAACCAGGGAGAUUUUCUUCUUUCCCCACUUCUCCCUCCCACGUCCAAAUAUGAGAGUUUGGCAGCUGUGCAGAGAGGAUCUUGUGUAUGUUUUUGUUUUUCACAAAUGGUGGAGGAAAAUUGGACAAGUCAGAUGAAAAGCAGCAUUUUCAACUCUUCCCCAGAUCAGGAUGCACAGUAACAGAGAUCCAAAGCAGCGUCAAUAAACCACGUACUUUGAAAAGGUGCUGGGCCUCUGAAAGGGGUUGGAACACCUGCAGUAGUGAACACUAACUG